This 484-nucleotide ribosomal RNA is filed under the name uncultured bacterium. Its description in RNAcentral is "bacterial SSU rRNA". It matches the Rfam family "Bacterial small subunit ribosomal RNA", at positions 28 to 514 of the family's 1533-position model. The record is from RNAcentral.
GAUGAACGCUAGCGGCAGGCUUAACACAUGCAAGUCGAGGGGUAGAGGAAGCUUGCUUCCUUGAGACCGGCGCACGGGUGCGUAACGCGUAUGCAAUCUACCUUAUACAGGGGAUAGCCCAGAGAAAUUUGGAUUAAUACCCCAUAGUAUAAUUGAAUGGCAUCAUUUAAUUAUUAAAGUUCCAACGGUAUAAGAUGAGCAUGCGUCCCAUUAGCUAGUUGGUGUGGUAACGGCACACCAAGGCGACGAUGGGUAGGGGUCCUGAGAGGGAGAUCCCCACACUGGUACUGAGACACGGACCAGACUCCUACGGGAGGCAGCAGUGAGGAAUAUUGGUCAAUGGGCGCAAGCCUGAACCAGCCAUGCCGCGUGCAGGAUGACGGUCCUAUGGAUUGUAAACUGCUUUGUACAGGAAGAAACACUCCCUCGUGAGGAGCUUGACGGUACUGUAAGAAUAAGGAUCGGCUAAACUCCGUGCCAGCAG